RNAcentral lists this ribosomal RNA (216 nucleotides) under Aphredoderus sayanus (pirate perch). RNAcentral's name for it is "partial 28S ribosomal RNA". It matches the Rfam family "Eukaryotic large subunit ribosomal RNA", at positions 1686 to 1898 of the family's 3401-position model. The record is from RNAcentral. Lineage: Eukaryota; Metazoa; Chordata; Actinopteri; Percopsiformes; Aphredoderidae.
AGAGUUCUCUUUUCUUUGUGAAGGGCAGGGCGCCCUGGUUUGGGUUCGCCCCGAGAGAGGGGCCCAAGCCCUGGAAAGCGUCGCGGUUCCGGCGGCGUCCGGUGAGCUCUCGCUGGCCCUUGAAAAUCCGAGGGAGAUGGUGUAAAUCUCGCGCCAGGCCGUACCCAUAUCCGCAGCAGGUCUCCAAGGUGAACAGCCUCUGGCAUGUUAGAUCAA